RNAcentral lists this ribosomal RNA (497 nucleotides) under uncultured bacterium. RNAcentral describes it as "partial 16S ribosomal RNA". It matches the Rfam family "Bacterial small subunit ribosomal RNA", at positions 28 to 507 of the family's 1533-position model. The record is from RNAcentral.
GAUGAACGCUGGCGGCGUGCCUAAUACAUGCAAGUCGAGCGAACAGAUAAGGAGCUUGCUCCUUUGACGUUAGCGGCGGACGGGUGAGUAACACGUGGGUAACCUACCUAUAAGACUGGGAUAACUUCGGGAAACCGGAGCUAAUACCGGAUAAUAUUUCGAACCGCAUGGUUCGAUAGUGAAAGAUGGUUUUGCUAUCACUUAUAGAUGGACCCGCGCCGUAUUAGCUAGUUGGUAAGGUAACGGCUUACCAAGGCGACGAUACGUAGCCGACCUGAGAGGGUGAUCGGCCACACUGGAACUGAGACACGGUCCAGACCCCUACGGGAGGCAGCAGUAGGGAAUCUUCCGCAAUGGGCGAAAGCCUGACGGAGCAACGCCGCGUGAGUGAUGAAGGUCUUCGGGUCGUAAAACUCUGUUAUUAGGGAAGAACAUACGUGUAAGUAACUGUGCACGUCUUGACGGUACCUAAUCAGAAAGCCACGGCUAACUACGUG